UCCUGGCUAGCUCAGUUGGUAGGGCACUAAACUCCUGAUCUGAGGGUCAUGAGUUCAAGCCCCAUGUUGGGAA
RNAcentral lists this transfer RNA (73 nucleotides) under Mustela putorius furo (domestic ferret). It matches the Rfam family "tRNA". Rfam says of the family: Transfer RNA (tRNA) molecules are approximately 80 nucleotides in length. Their secondary structure includes four short double-helical elements and three loops (D, anti-codon, and T loops). Further hydrogen bonds mediate the characteristic L-shaped molecular structure. tRNAs have two regions of fundamental functional importance: the anti-codon, which is responsible for specific mRNA codon recognition, and the 3' end, to which the tRNAs corresponding amino acid is attached (by aminoacyl-tRNA synthetases). tRNAs cope with the degeneracy of the genetic code in two manners: having more than one tRNA (with a specific anti-codon) for a particular amino acid; and 'wobble' base-pairing, i.e. permitting non-standard base-pairing at the 3rd anti-codon position. Lineage: Eukaryota; Metazoa; Chordata; Mammalia; Carnivora; Mustelidae. RNAcentral also lists the same sequence under 1 other name. The record is from Rfam by way of RNAcentral.